This 250-nucleotide ribosomal RNA is filed under the name uncultured bacterium. RNAcentral describes it as "partial 16S ribosomal RNA". It matches the Rfam family "Bacterial small subunit ribosomal RNA", at positions 524 to 773 of the family's 1533-position model. The record is from RNAcentral.
GACGAACUGUGCGAACGUUAUUCGGAAUCACUGGGCUUACAGGGUGCGUAGGCGGCCACGUAAGUAGGGUGUGAAAUCCCCCGGCCCAACCGGGGAACUGCGCUCUAAACUACAUGGCUUGAGUGAGCUAGGGGUCCACGGAACUUCCAGUGGAGCGGUGAAAUGUGUUGAUAUUGGAAGGAACACCGGAGCCGAAAGGGGUGGACUGGGGCUCAACUGACGCUGAGGCACGAAAGCCAGGGUAGCGAAC